UUUCACAGUUCCCUUUGAAGAGUGCGGGUC
Molecule: non-coding RNA, 30 nt
Filed under: Mus musculus (house mouse)
Lineage: Eukaryota; Metazoa; Chordata; Mammalia; Rodentia; Muridae
Source: RNAcentral